Molecule: ribosomal RNA, 657 nt
Filed under: uncultured Escherichia sp.
Lineage: Bacteria; Pseudomonadati; Pseudomonadota; Gammaproteobacteria; Enterobacterales; Enterobacteriaceae
Description: bacterial SSU rRNA
Rfam family: Bacterial small subunit ribosomal RNA
Source: RNAcentral
AUUGAACGCUGGCGGCAGGCCUAACACAUGCAAGUCGAACGGUAACAGGAAGAAGCUUGCUUCUUUGCUGACGAGUGGCGGACGGGUGAGUAAUGUCUGGGAAACUGCCUGAUGGAGGGGGAUAACUACUGGAAACGGUAGCUAAUACCGCAUAACGUCGCAAGACCAAAGAGGGGGACCUUCGGGCCUCUUGCCAUCGGAUGUGCCCAGAUGGGAUUAGCUAGUAGGUGGGGUAACGGCUCACCUAGGCGACGAUCCCUAGCUGGUCUGAGAGGAUGACCAGCCACACUGGAACUGAGACACGGUCCAGACUCCUACGGGAGGCAGCAGUGGGGAAUAUUGCACAAUGGGCGCAAGCCUGAUGCAGCCAUGCCGCGUGUAUGAAGAAGGCCUUCGGGUUGUAAAGUACUUUCAGCGGGGAGGAAGGGAGUAAAGUUAAUACCUUUACUCAUUGACGUUACCCGCAGAAGAAGCACCGGCUAACUCCGUGCCAGCAGCCGCGGUAAUACGGAGGGUGCAAGCGUUAAUCGGAAUUACUGGGCGUAAAGCGCACGCAGGCGGUUUGUUAAGUCAGAUGUGAAAUCCCCGGGCUCAACCUGGGAACUGCAUCUGAUACUGGCAAGCUUGAGUCUCGUAGAGGGGGGUAGAAUUCCAGGU